GACGAACGCUGGCGGCGUGCCUAAUACAUGCAAGUCGAACGAGAGCGACCGGUGCUUGCACUGGUCAAUCUAGUGGCGAACGGGUGAGUAACACGUGGGUAACCUGCCCAUCAGAGGGGGAUAACAUCCGGAAACGGAUGCUAAAACCGCAUAGGUCUUCGAGCCGCAUGGCUUGAAGAGGAAAAGAGGCGCAAGCUUCUGCUGAUGGAUGGACCCGCGGUGCAUUAGCUAGUUGGUGAGGUAACGGCUCACCAAGGCCGUGAUGCAUAGCCGACCUGAGAGGGUGAUCGGCCACAUUGGGACUGAGACACGGCCCAAACUCCUACGGGAGGCAGCAGUAGGGAAUCUUCCGCAAUGGACGCAAGUCUGACGGAGCAACGCCGCGUGAGUGAAGAAGGUUUUCGGAUCGUAAAACUCUGUUGUUAGAGAAGAACAAGUGCUAGAGUAACUGUUAG
This 455-nucleotide ribosomal RNA is filed under the name Granulicatella adiacens. Its description in RNAcentral is "bacterial SSU rRNA". It matches the Rfam family "Bacterial small subunit ribosomal RNA", at positions 28 to 471 of the family's 1533-position model. The record is from RNAcentral. Lineage: Bacteria; Bacillati; Bacillota; Bacilli; Lactobacillales; Carnobacteriaceae.